Moniliophthora roreri MCA 2997 is the source of this 295-nucleotide small RNA. It matches the Rfam family "5' ureB small RNA". The record is from Rfam. NCBI's taxonomy places the organism in Eukaryota, Fungi, Basidiomycota, Agaricomycetes, Agaricales, Marasmiaceae.
CUUCCUCGAUCAACUGAGGGCAAAUAAAGUGUACAUGGGCAUCAAUACCACCUGCGGUAACGAUCAUACCUCCAGCCGAGAUGACGUCCGUCGAAUUUCCUAUGGUAAGAUCGGGAUGAACGCUCCGUUGGGUAUCAGGGUUUCCAGCUUUGCCAAUAGCAUGGAUAAGACCAUUCUUGAUACCAAUAUCGGCUUUGUAGAUUCCUGACCAAUCGACGAUGAGUGCAUUGACAAUGACGACAUCCAAGGCUUCAGAAGAGGAACGGUUGGUAGCUUGACCCAUGCCUUCGCGGAU